This 207-nucleotide ribosomal RNA is filed under the name uncultured bacterium. Its description in RNAcentral is "partial 16S ribosomal RNA". It matches the Rfam family "Bacterial small subunit ribosomal RNA", at positions 568 to 774 of the family's 1533-position model. The record is from RNAcentral.
UGCGCAGGCGGUUAUGUAAGACAGUUGUGAAAUCCCCGGGCUCAACCUGGGAAUUGCAUCUGUGACUGCAUAGCUAGAGUACGGUAGAGGGGGAUGGAAUUCCGCGUGUAGCAGUGAAAUGCGUAGAUAUGCGGAGGAACACCGAUGGCGAAGGCAAUCCCCUGGACCUGUACUGACGCUCAUGCACGAAAGCGUGGGGAGCAAACA